GAAGGAGUCUAUGGAACAUCCUGUGCACCCUAAGCAAGAAAUGAACCCCACUGGGUUCAAUGGGGCACAUUUGUUUAUUUAUUAAGAGUCUUUUUAGUUCAUCCUUCAUCAUCUGAUCCCAAGGUGGGGGUACAAUAUGGUUUAAAUGGUUGAAACUUGUCUGAUACAAUUAAAAGAGUAGAUAAAUUAAGUGUGCAUCCUAAAGAUCUUACCUUUUUGAAGCUUUCUCAAACACUCUCUGGUUUUUGCUCUUAUAUAUACAUAUCUAUUUCAAUGUCAAUGCAGGUGGUGUUUCAGAGCCCUUUUAGCCUACUUGGACAGACUCCGGAAGGCUGCUCAACUUACACCUUUCCUAAGAUAAUGGGCCCCCUAAAGGUAAGUAGCUUAACUCAUUGCUGGGGGUGGGGACACCCCAGUACCAACCAGUUGUUAUACCUCUUCCCCCUUCUCCGCAUUUCAUCGUUAAGAUUAAUUUCCUUUUGUUCCUGUAGUCGUUCAGGAAUAGGUUUUGAGACGUAAAACAACUUAGACACUUAUGACACUAAAAUCCUUUGACAAAAAAAAGGUACUAUGGAAAAGGUACUAUGAUGCAUAUAUGGUAGAAGUGUCUAAACAUCAAACAAUUUUGGGAAACAAUAUAUAACGAAAUGAAAAAAAAUGUUCAGAUAUUCAUUUAGGAAAACACCAGAAGGUUUUCUAUUGGGAAUAGUAACAGGAAGUCUAAAGGAAGAAGACAAGACAUUAUAUUUAUACGCAACAGUAGCCGCAAGGCUAUUGAUUGCGAAAAAUUGGAAAAGUGGUAUUAUACCGACAAAAACAGAGUGGCUUGCCAAAUUAUUGGAGUAUUACAAUAAAUCCAAAACAAUGGGAGAAAUGGGAAGGAUCUCAAAAGAGAAGAUAGACAGGGACUGGAAGGAUCCUUGCAAAACCAUAUUGAAAAAUCAGAAUUCCUAUUAGAAUAAACAAGUUCCGUUUUAAAUACUGAAAUACUAAAUAAGAUGGAUAACAAUGUGUAAUAGAAAAAGGAGCAUGAAAUUAGGUUAAAGGUGUGUGAAAGAAAGUAACAGAAGUGGAAAGAAAUUGCAAUUGAGUAGAUUGGAAGUCUAAAACAAAGGUGGGGUGAGGGGUGGUGGAUGGUGAUGGGAAAAGGAAUUAUCUGCGGGAUUGAGUGUAGGUAUGUUUGAACAUUUUUAAGGAUUGUAUGAAAUGUAUGUUUGUAUGCUUGUAUAUUCGCAAUAUGUGUGUAUUAAUGCUGAAUUGUUUUAAUAAUAAAAACUUAAAUAAUAAAAAUUUAAAAAAUCCUUUGACAAAAUGUAGCCAUGGUACUAGUUUGGUUUGCAGUUGAGUAUACACCAGAAAAAUGCACCCAAAACAAUUGAGCAACUUCCCUACGAGGAAGAUUUACCUCCUCACAAUUUACCACCCCACAUCUCCCAAUGUUGCUUUCCCCUCAACUAAUCUCCAGUACUGGAAGUGAGUCCAAAUGGAGAAAAGUUCAUGGCAGACGGGGAGAUUCUUCAGCACUCUCACCAAUGCACCUCUUAACCGGGACACCUCACCCCACUUUGAUAUGUAAUUGGGGCAGCCUUGCUUCUAAAGGCACAAUGUGCCAUCAUCAAUAUAUAGUAGGGCUGGCCUUCCAGAAGCUUGGGACUCCAACUCCCAUCAAUCCCUGCCAGCAGGGUCAAUGGUCAGAGAUGAUGGGAGCUGUAGUCCAGACCUGGUGUAUAUAGUUCUCCACCCUGGUGUAUAGUUUGGGCCUUGCAUUGUGAUCCUAUGUGUAUUUCCUCAGAGGAAAAUGCUGCUGUAUUGAAGAAGCCUUACUCCCAGGUAGGGAUGGAGGAGAAAUUCAGUUCAGUUCACAUUUAAAGGUGAACUUACCUCAUUCUCAUAUUCUAAAACAAAAUCUGAACCAAGACACAGCCAUACUUGUACUUCUCUGAAUUUUGCAAGGCAGUUCUCCAGCUGAGUAAUGUGUACAGAAAUCCAUAUAUUAAUGUGAAGUGUGCAUAUAAAUGCAUAUAUUAGUGAUAAUAUCUUACCAAAAUGUAUUGUUUAGGAGGAAAUGCAUGCAAAAAUGUGUUUAUUGUGAGAUAGUUGCACUAAAAUGCUGAUAAUUUUCAUGAGGGUUAUUUUAACUAAAAUUUGCAGAUUGCUCUAGAAAUGUAGAGAACUGAAUUUAAGACUGGAAAAAUGAGAAAUUGAGAAAACCAAAAUUGAAAGAUUUGUGUAUCCUUGCUCUCAGGUAAGUAUGCAUAGGAUUGCAGCUCAAUGUACACUUACCUGAGAGUAAGUCUCCUUGAACUCACUGGCACAUGCAUAGGAUUGCCCUGUCUGCAUUCUGCUAUCACAAUGGGUAACUAUGAAGUGUUAACAUUAUUCUUCCUAGACUAUCUUCAAUGGCAGAAAUCUCAAUUUCAGCCAUCUCACUUAGCUGUAAUUUAAAUAUUUAUGUCUGUAAAUCGCACUAAAAACUGCUCUAUUUUUAUACAGCAGAUUUUAAGGUUAUUUUCUACAUUCCUUGCACAUUUUGCAGUAGCAGCAUGGAACGGGGAAUUCUAUAUUAAAGACAUCUAAUUAUAUGUAUGAAAAGUAAUUGAAAGCCUCCUCUCAGCCUGGCAAUGCAAAAUAUUUGAACUCUGUCCCUAACAGUAUGUUUCCCUUUCAUCAUCUUGAUUAUUCUUUUUCAAGCCUGCCAGAUUGAAUUUUCUGAGGUUCGUAUAACAAUCCCCACAGCUUGGGACUUGGGAAAGAUCAGAUUCAUGAUUCAGAGACUCACGAGCUCCCUUUUAUUUGCAUGCUCUGACAAGGGUAAGAAGAUGAGUGAUUGGUCCAAACUGAGUGCCCAUGUGCUAGGCCACAUGAGAAUGUAGGAAUCCAUAAGAAAGGAUUUUUGAAUCAGAACAGAGAAGGGCCAUGGUUCAGUUGUAGAGCAUUUGCCUUGUAUGCAAAGGUUCAAACCCCACCAACUCCAGACAGGACUAGGAGAGAAUCAUUGCCUGAAACCUUGGAGAUCCAAGUCAAGGUAGACAAUUCAAAGCUAGAAAGACUGAUAAUUGUCUUACUCAGUAUUAAGCUAGCUUCCUAUGAUAGCCAGAGGAAGCUCACAAAGGGAGCGUGACGGAGAGACGCAUAAUUAAAGGUCCACCAGCUCUCUCCCAGCAGUCAGAUUGCACGUUAAAUAACAUACUAGGAAGAGCAAUGGGGAUAAGUACACUAGUAGUGUCCCCUGACUGUCUGAAGUUAGAGAGAGGUGGAUCUGACAGUUUUAGUUUCUCUCGGCUUCUCAUUUUUCCAGCUUCACCUUCAGUUUGCCCCAUUUCUGCAUUAGUUUAGCCAAUUAAAAAAGUGUGCAUUUUUGCAAGUGUUGCAAAAGUAUUGCAAAAGUAUUUGCAAGUUAUUGAAUUUUUGCAAGUUAUUUUUACAAAUAAACACGUUUUUAUGUGCACUUUCCCCCUAAGAUGUGGUUUUGGAUGCAUUCUUUGGUUGGAGAAUUGUGCUGCAACAUUUGUAGAAGUGUGCGUUUUGAGCAAUACAGUGGUACCUUGGUUCUCAAACUUAAUCUGUUCCAGAAGUCCGUUCCGAAACCAAAGCGUUUCAAAAAUAAGGUGCUCUUUCCCAUAGAAAGUAAUGCAAAAUGGAUUAAUCAAUUCCAGACUUUUAAAAACAACCCCUAAAACAGCAUUUUAACAUGGAUUUUACUGUCUAACAAGAUCAUUGAUCCAUAAAAUGAAAGCAAUAGACAGUGUACUGCAGUCACACAAUCAAUCAGUAGCUGAACUGGGUUCCACACAGUCACAAAAACAAAAAAAAAGAGCCGCAAAAACUAAAAUGCAAAAUAAACAGCAAAAACAGACAGACCUCAGUGUAACACUCAAACCAGAAGUGUGGCACUCGAAACAGAAGUGCCAUGGAAGUGUAACACUCAAAACGGAGCAUGAUCGGCUUCCGAAAAAAGUUCACAAACUGGAACACUUACUUCCAGGUUUGCAGUGUUUGGGUUCCAAGUUGUUUGAGUACCAAGGCAUUUGAGAACCAAGGUACCACUUUAUCGACAUUUCAGUUUGUGUGUUGGUUCAGGGAGUGUGAUUUAGGGAGUGUGAUUCCCCCACCCUUUCUACCCCAUGUGGAACCUCCCCCCACAAAGUAGAACCCUGGAAGAUCCAUAUUCUAGGAGACUCUCUUCUCUGCUGUCUAACGUUUAGAGGGCAAUGAGGCAGAGCCAGCAUGUUCAUACCUCCAUCUUCCUUCCUGCGGUUCUAAACAUAUGCAAUCCAAUGUCUGAAGAGGGCAAGUAUGUCUCUCGGAAUGGAUGCUCUCAUUUUAGUGUCCACGGCUAAGAGCUGUCAAGGACCCUGCCCUCCAUUAAUUUGUCUAACUCUUGAAAAAGCUAUCCGAGUUAAUGUCAAGCACCUCAUCGUGGCAAUGGAUCUUACACGUUAAUUACGCCUCACAUGAAGAAGCAUUUCCUUUUGUUUAUCCGAAAAUUACUGCUAGUCAGCUUCAAUGUUUGGCUUCUAGAGUCUGAGCAGAGAAUAAUUUAUUCCUCUUCCCCGGUCGUAAUUUCACAAACAUUUAUCGCAUCUCCCACUCUUCCCUUCGUAAUUGUUGCCUUAAAUGAAAAAAGCCCCAAGUACUAACUUUUGUCUUCUUAGAGAAGGUGCUUCACGUUUUCCCUUGAUUAUUUAAGUUCCCUUUGCCUGCACUUUCUCCUACUCAACAAUGUGGUUUUGAGGUGUGAGAGCCAGAACAGUACUUAACGUUUACCGUAAGUGUUGAAACACAGCUACAUACAUAAACCCAAGAGGAAGAUGGAUAACAGUCUCAUACCAAAUUGAACUACUGGAUUUGUGUAGCUCAGGCCUGUCUUUACCUGGGGUGGAGAAUCUAAGGCCUGGCGAGCAGGGGGACAAAUGAGGACCUCCAAAUUCUCCAUCUGGCCCUCAGACCUCUCCCCAGCCUAUAGCCCUUUGCUUCACACUCCAAUUAUUUUGCCUGCCAGGAAGCUGUCCCUGAUUUCUGAUAGCACCCCUUGCUUCUCUGGAUAGAUAGGAAUGUGUGUGUCUAGAAAAUAGCCUACCAUAUAAAGGUGAAACUUACAUCUGUUGCUUUGCCCACUUAGGGCUCACCUUGGAGGCCAACAGUUUCCCAGAAAGACAUGUGGCCCUCUGGCUGAAGUCCAGCCAAGCUGAUUCCUUCCAGGUAUUUUGGGUUACAACUUCCAUCAACCCCGGCCAGCAGAAGCUGGCGAAGGCUGGUUGGCACUGUACUGCCAUCAGUUCUCCGCCAUUUCAGACAGGAUUCUUUCUCGACCUUACCUGGAGAUACCAGGGAUCAGCCCCAGAAAACUAUUAUACUCAUGCAAAAUUAUAAUAUUUCAAAAUUUUGGAUACCAGCUGCAUUCACACACUGGCACGUUUAACACUGUGUACAUAAGCAAAAAUAUGCUGAGCACGUGUGGUUGGGUCUUAAUAUUCAGGGUUCUCCAGGAACAGAUUCUGAUCUUAGUAGACCGAGAAGAAUGUGUAGCUGUUUUAUUGAAGAAUCCAAAUCUUUAGAUUAGCAACCAAAGCAGGCCCAUGCGAAGCUUAUCUGAGGCCCAGGGCAUGAGUCUUGUUAGAAUAAAGUUAUAUACUCAAACAAAAAAAGCACCCGGUCCCUGGCAGGGUCCCCCAGCCAACUUAACCCUCCAAGCCCAGGGGAAGUGUACCCAGCUGCCUUCCGCCUCUUCAUGGGCCUGAUCCAGAGUCCUUUUUGCUCAGCCCAUCUCAGGUCAUCAGACUUUCUCAGGAUAAGAAACAUGGACAGCCGCUUGCCGUGGCAACAUGUCCCUUAGUUUUCCAAAGCCAUCAAAUUACAGCAUUGUUGUUAUUGUUUUCCCCCUCAGAACAAUUAAUGAAAAUUGGAAUAAGAAAAGAAUGUCACAAGAACAUGGUACAGAAUAGUAUGGCGAAUACUGCAGUAAGGCGUAUUCUAGGUUUCUACAUCUGGGCUGCUUCCAGAUGGUUGGCUUUUAGUGCCACCGAAGCAUUGUUGUUCUUUUGAAAGCUGCAAGCAGAAUUGUAAUGAACCUACCACACUAUUAGGGAAUACUGCGCCUUUUCUAUAAGUACAUUCCACUAUGCUCUGUCCACACUAGGGAACAUAACAUAAAACAUCACAUCACAUCAUAUCACAUAAAACAUAAAAUACCUUUUGCAUCUUAGUGCACAUUCACUACAACCUUUAAGGUGGGUGGCAUUGUUAUAAAGUCUGACUCAGCAACUCUGGCUGUCCUGAGAAUGCCAGAUUUAAUGAUGCCACUUGUAUUCACAGAGUCCACACUCUUCAAACAAAAUUGGCUGAAGGUCUUGCCAUAGAUAUAACGGAACUUUGCACCAUCUGAAUAGCAUUUAGGCAGAGCGGCUUCUUUUAUCUCUCUCUGUCUCUCCAGCAGCCAAGAACUGGCAGGAGACCUCCAUCUCCUUUGUACAGCCUACUCCAAGAUCAUUUAUUUUUUCUGUUCUUCAGGAGUCGGCAAGAGCCUCACUUGUGAGAUAACUGGUUAAACACUCCAAUCCAGAUUCUGCGAGACAAGUCAGUUCACUGUGAGAUUAAAGCUUUGUGGCAUUUUUCAUCAUUGAUAUGGCACUUGUAUUACAGGAUGCUUUCCCAUUUCUUGCUAAUUAUAUCGUACCACAGUAGCUACAUGCACAUUGAAACAUUUGCAUAUUGGCAAAAUUACAUAGGCCUAUAAGAUGGAUAAAUGGAGCAAGCACCACUUCUUAGCUAUUGAAUCUUCAUUAUUGUUUUCUUUCACUUAGGCAAAUGAGAUGCUCCUUUUUAACAAGAGGAUCACUGCCAAUGAAGCACGGACCCAAGGACUCGUGACGGAGGUUUUUGCUGACAGUACUUUUCAGCAAGAAGUUUGGACAAGGCUGAAAGCAUAUGCUAAUCUUCCUAGAAAUGUUCGUAAUAACUACAGCACACACUAUUCAUAACAGUGCAACCCUAUACAUGUUUACUCAGGAGUAAAUCUCAUUGUGCUGAAGAGGGCUUACUUCCUAAUAUGUGUGUUUAGGAGUGCCUCCUUAAUCAUAUUAAAACACUGAGCCAACUACCACUCAAAAUGCC
Molecule: long non-coding RNA, 7113 nt
Filed under: Podarcis lilfordi (Lilford's wall lizard)
Lineage: Eukaryota; Metazoa; Chordata; Lepidosauria; Squamata; Lacertidae
Source: RNAcentral